AAGAGAUCUGUAUAACACCUAGGAAACAGAUGCUAAUACCGGAUAACAACAGAUGAUGCCUAUCAACUGUUUAAAAGAUGGUUCUGCUAUCACUCUUGGAUGGACCUGCGGUGCAUUAGCUAGUUGGUAGGGUAACGGCCUACCCAAGGCGAUGAUGCAUAGCCGAGUUGAGAGACUGAUCGGCCACAUUGGGACUGAGACACGGCCCAAACUCCUACGGGAGGCAGCAGUA
Molecule: ribosomal RNA, 232 nt
Filed under: uncultured Lactobacillus sp.
Lineage: Bacteria; Bacillati; Bacillota; Bacilli; Lactobacillales; Lactobacillaceae
Description: partial 16S ribosomal RNA
Rfam family: Bacterial small subunit ribosomal RNA
Source: RNAcentral